This 22-nucleotide non-coding RNA is filed under the name Mus musculus (house mouse). Lineage: Eukaryota; Metazoa; Chordata; Mammalia; Rodentia; Muridae. The record is from RNAcentral.
UGCCAACUGUGUCUUGCCACCU